This 531-nucleotide long non-coding RNA is filed under the name Gossypium raimondii (Peruvian cotton). RNAcentral's name for it is "long non-coding RNA (GRAI_LNC004578)". The record is from RNAcentral. Lineage: Eukaryota; Viridiplantae; Streptophyta; Magnoliopsida; Malvales; Malvaceae.
AAGGAAUGUGCAUGCUUUAGCAAAACCCCAUAUUCUACCCUAAUCCAUGUAGGAAAAAUGCAUCCCUGCUUUCAACUUACCCAAACCUACAUUAAAACAGCUACCCUACAGCCAAACACCCUUCCUUCUACACCUUCAAACCCUAAUAUUUCCCCCAUUUUAGCAAAAAAUCCCUCAUGCCGCAGUUAGCCCCCUCCCCCGCCCACCACCGAUUUUUGAAACACAAUGGUUAGGACUACCAUCAACAGUCGAACCUUCCUCAUAUUGCUCCACUCCACGCGAACCCUCUUCUCCUCUUGCUCCACCACUCGCACCUUCCCACUCGACUUCACUGCAGCUCUUACAAAUUUCCCUUCCCCUACUGUCCUAUUCACCAAUCGCUUCACACCCUUCAUUUCCACCAACAUCCUUGGCUCCCGCCCUCUCUCAUCAUUGAACCCAUCGAUGGCCACAAGUUCCUUUGGCCCAACCAGUAUGCGUGUCUGACGAUACCACCUCCUCUGAGUUCGCUGACCCCGAUUUAGAGUUUAA